Non-coding RNA from Seminavis robusta, 207 nucleotides. The record is from the annotation of a GenBank genome assembly. Lineage: Eukaryota; Bacillariophyta; Bacillariophyceae; Naviculales; Naviculaceae.
UGGACUGUACUUUUAUAGAAUCUCUAUAAAUUUACUAGCCCUGUUUGACUUGCUCAAACAAGAAAUCAAUAUCACCCAUGUUGAUAAGCAAAAGCACUGAUGGACUCCGCGAGAGUAACAUGGUCACCACUUCGGUGGAGACUGUGUGGCGAAGAGCUGCGUCGAGAAAUAUUCCAUCUUGAUGCCCGUCUGUGCACUUUGAAUGGG